RNAcentral lists this ribosomal RNA (496 nucleotides) under uncultured bacterium. RNAcentral describes it as "partial 16S ribosomal RNA". It matches the Rfam family "Bacterial small subunit ribosomal RNA", at positions 29 to 507 of the family's 1533-position model. The record is from RNAcentral.
AUGCACGCUGGCGGCGUGCCUCAUCCAUGCCAGUCGCGCGAACAGACGAGGAGCUUGCUCCUCUGACGUUAGCGGCGGACGGGUGAGUAACACGUGGAUAACCUACCUAUAAGACUGGGAUAACUUCGGGAAACCGGAGCUAAUACCGGAUAAUAUAUUGAACCGCAUGGUUCAAUAGUGAAAGACGGUUUUGCUGUCACUUAUAGAUGGAUCCGCGCCGCAUUAGCUAGUUGGUAAGGUAACGGCUUACCAAGGCAACGAUGCGUAGCCGACCUGAGAGGGUAAUCGGCCACACUGGAACUGAGACACGGUCCAGACUCCUACGGGAGGCAGCAGUAGGGAAUCUUCCGCAAUGGGCGAAAGCCUGACGGAGCAACGCCGCGUGAGUGAUGAAGGUCUUCGGAUCGUAAAACUCUGUUAUUAGGGAAGAACAAAUGUGUAAGUAACUAUGCACGUCUUGACGGUACCUAAUCAGAAAGCCACGGCUAACUACGUG